UACGAAGGGGGCUAGCGUUGCUCGGAAUGACUGGGCGUAAAGGGCGCGUAGGCGGACUGCACAGUCAGGCGUGAAAUUCCUGGGCUUAACCUGGGGACUGCGUCUGAGACGUGUGAUCUAGAGUGAGGAAGAGGGUCGUGGAAUUUCCAGUGUAGAGGUGAAAUUCGUAGAUAUUGGAAAGAACACCGGUGGCGAAGGCGGCGACCUGGUCCUUGACUGACGCUGAGGCGAGAAAGCGUGGGGAGCAAACAGG
This 253-nucleotide ribosomal RNA is filed under the name uncultured bacterium. Its description in RNAcentral is "partial 16S ribosomal RNA". It matches the Rfam family "Bacterial small subunit ribosomal RNA", at positions 524 to 776 of the family's 1533-position model. The record is from RNAcentral.